UACAGAGGUCUCAAGCGUUGUUCGGAUUCAUUGGGCGUAAAGGGUGCGUAGGCGGCGCGGUAAGUCGGGUGUGAAAUCUCGGAGCUUAACUCCGAAACUGCAUUCGAUACUGCCGUGCUUGAGGACUGGAGAGGAGACUGGAAUUUACGGUGUAGCGGUGAAAUGCGCAGAUAUCAGGAGGAACACCGGUGGCGAAGGCGGGUCUCUGGGCCGAUACUGACGCUGAGGAGCGAAAGCAUGGGUAGCGAACAGG
RNAcentral lists this ribosomal RNA (253 nucleotides) under uncultured bacterium. Its description in RNAcentral is "partial 16S ribosomal RNA". It matches the Rfam family "Bacterial small subunit ribosomal RNA", at positions 524 to 776 of the family's 1533-position model. The record is from RNAcentral.